AGCGAACGCUGGCGGCAGGCUUAACACAUGCAAGUCGAACGGGCAUAGCAAUAUGUCAGUGGCAGACGGGUGAGUAACGCGUGGGAACGUACCUUUUGGUUCGGAACAACACAGGGAAACUUGUGCUAAUACCGGAUAAGCCCUUACGGGGAAAGAUUUAUCGCCGAAAGAUCGGCCCGCGUCUGAUUAGCUAGUUGGUAGGGUAAUGGCCUACCAAGGCGACGAUCAGUAGCUGGUCUGAGAGGAUGAUCAGCCACAUUGGGACUGAGACACGGCCCAAACUCCUACGGGAGGCAGCAGUGGGGAAUAUUGGACAAUGGGCGAAAGCCUGAUCCAGCCAUGCCGCGUGAGUGAUGAAGGCCCUAGGGUUGUAAAGCUCUUUUGUGCGGGAAGAUAAUGACGGUACCGCAAGAAUAAGCCCCGGCUAACUUCGUGC
Molecule: ribosomal RNA, 436 nt
Filed under: uncultured bacterium
Lineage: Bacteria
Description: partial 16S ribosomal RNA
Rfam family: Bacterial small subunit ribosomal RNA
Source: RNAcentral